This 279-nucleotide ribosomal RNA is filed under the name uncultured bacterium. RNAcentral describes it as "partial 16S ribosomal RNA". It matches the Rfam family "Bacterial small subunit ribosomal RNA", at positions 506 to 784 of the family's 1533-position model. The record is from RNAcentral.
UGCCAGCAGCCGCGGUAAUACGGAAGGCCCGAGCGUUAAUCGGAAUCACUGGGCUUAAAGCGUGCGCAGGCGGACCGGCAGGCAUCCUGUGAAAUCCCACAGCUCAACUGUGGAACUGCAGGGUGAACCGCCGGUCUCGAGGCAGGUAGGGGUGAGUGGAACUAUGGGUGGAGCGGUGAAAUGCGUAGAUAUCCAUGGGAACGCCAAUGGCGAAGGCAACUCACUGGGCCUGUCCUGACGCUCAGGCACGAAAGCGUGGGGAGCGAACGGGAUUAGAUA